GGGCUGCAGGGACCGUGGAAUGCGAUGGGUUGGAAUGGACCUCAAAGCCCAUCCAGUUCCAACCCCCUGCCACUGUAUCAGGCUGCUCCAAGCCCCAUCCAACCCGGUCUUGAACACCUCCAGGGAUGGGGCAGCCACCACUGCUCUGGGCAACCUGGAUCACUGUCUCCCCACCCUCAUAGGAAAGCAUUUAUUCCUAAUAUCCAAGCUAAACCUCCCUUAUUUCAGCUUAAACACAUCCCCCCUCAUCCUCUCCCUGCACUCAAAGCCCCUCCCCAGCUUUCCUGGAGCCCCUUCAGUCCUGGAAGCUGCUCUGAGGUCUCCCCGCAGCCUUCUCUUCUCCAGGCUGAACAACCCCAACUCCCUCAGCCUGUCAAAUCUUUAAUUUGCUGUUUUACGAGAAGAAGUAGGCAGGAUAAUUUGUUAGUUUUAUUCAGGCGCAGUGGUACCCGUGGGUUUAGAACCAUUUUUUCCUCCAGCCUAAACAAGUCAUCGCUCCGUAAAGCUUCAUCAUUUCUGCCUUUUGUCACCUCACGGUCAGCCCGCCUGUCUUUCUGCUGUGAAAUAUGGAGGAUUUUUCUGCAUCUCAAUAGACCUACCCUGGCAUGGAGGCAGUGGCGAUCCCUGUCUCCCUUUCCUCGCGGAGCUACACGAGGCCUUGCUCUGCCUUUCAAAUAGUUCCUCUUGAUAUUUUACCAUUAACCCUCCAUUGUGACCUUGAAAUUGCAGACUUGCUUUUCCACUGUUUUCUACACCACCCUAUAACUCUGCUUUUCCACACUUGGAAAAGAAUUUGUCUUAUUUCUAACCUUCUUUUUCCCCCUGUUUAUAGUAACAGUCAUGACCUUAGAGUCAGAGAUUUCCCAGACGUUAAUGACCAGCCAGAAUGAGAUUAUGCUCUCAGCUGCUGCAGGUAACUGCUCAGCACCUGAUCCUGCCCGACUUUUAUGCAUAACCCUCCUUGGAAGCUGGGAGACGUUUGGUGGGUCACCUAACUGGAAAACUGUGCCUGGCAUUAUGCCUUAAAUAUUCCUUGCGGGCUUGUCCACAGCUCCAAGUGCACCAGGAUGUGAUGUAUAAAGGUUGUAUUCACAGGACCAGGUCACAAAGUAGUUGUCUUUGUUCUCCUUCCAGAACGGAUGCAGAGAGCACUGUCCUACCCUCCCGCCCUCUCCGCUCCCACCCUGGAUCCAUCCAACAUGCACACAGAGCAGAAGGAAAGGGAGAUGCAUUUUGCAAACAAAUGAAGAAGGUAAAAGGGAUGCUGGUAUUGACAUCAUCGUGUUACUGAUGCCAUUUAAAGCAGGUUGCAGCAGCUGGAGGAUGGAUGUAACCAGACGGCACGCCGUGUACCAGGCAAUAAGGGGAAAUUAUGGGUAGCUUUGGAGCUGAAUGAAUAACUCUCCACAAGAUCCGCCUCAGCUUGUUCCAACAGUAAGUGACAUAAGUUUAAUUGGCUAUAACAGGACCUCGCUUAGUCCCAGUCUGGUGGGUUUGUGUUAUUUAAUGCCUUCAUCUGGGGCUCCAACUCUUCUGGCACAGAGGGGGGGCUCUGAGCACAGGAUUUGGAGACAGCAGGUCCUGGGCUUGGCUCAAACAGUUACUGUCACUGUGGGAAUUUUCUGCAUUAGAUUCCUCCACACGGGAAGAAAGAUGACAGCUCUAGCCAAAAUCACAAGCAGGACCUGAUGAUGACUUACAGAUUAGCUCCAAGUGCUGUGAAGAUUAACUGGAAUUUUUCAAAGCUCUGUCCUAAUUCACCUUUUUUGGAGUGCACUUCCCUCUCCGAACGGGUUACGGGCUGUAGAGCCCUGGCUUCCUGGGACAGCUGCCCUCGGAAUGCUAAACCCCAGCUGUACAUGCUUUUACUUAGGCUCAUUAAGUAUUUCCAGCCACACCUUGAUGAAGUCAACCCUUAGCGAUGCACCGUUUGAAAAAGAUUUGGGUCUUUUUUGUAACCAAUAAUUCUAUAAAGAAACAGGAAAACAGAGUGCUUCGGUAAAAUGUGAGUAAAAGGGAACUUUUUCCUCAAUAUUAUACAUGCCCCUUCCCAAAAUCCUAGGCUGUACCACAGCAAACCAGCUGAGCAGACAAGCCAAGGUCUCAAAGAGAAGCACUCUAUCUGCUGAGAGAAGCUCUUAUCAGACUGACCUUCCUUUGAUUCCUGCACCAGAUAAGGCUGAAUCGUAGCUGAUUAAUGGAACGAGAAAUGUGCCACACAGGGCUGCUGGUGAGUCCAGGGCAGGAUGUCUGGGUGAGAGAAAUGAGGUAGCGGUCUCCCCCGAGGUUUUAUUUCCCAGGAAAAGCACAGCUAUAAAAAGCAGGGUACAAAAAGUGUACUUUGGAGUUGAAGAGACGAGCCUGCUGUUUGGGUGAGCGUCAUGGCUAAAUACAGUGAUUAAACCAGAUCUACUGGUAUUUUUCGGAGACAGUUGCAGGCUGGGGAUUGCUGCUGCCUCGGUAAACAGGCACUGCAUCUGAGCUGGGAGGGCCCUCAUCAGUGUUGUGUAGCUGAAAAUUCAAAAUGUUGCGGUCUUAGCUUGGUUUUACAAACACCAAAUCCUUCUCAAAUAUAAUUGUAGGUAUUUUCGCCUCUGCAGCUGGCUGUUAUUAUAGAAUCAUAGAAUAGUUCGGGUUGGAAGAGACCUUAAAAGAUCAUCCAGUUCCAACACCCUGCCAUGGGCAGGGACACCUCCCACUGGCUCAGGCUGCCCAAGGCCCAUCCAACCUGACCUUGAACACCUCCAGGGAUGGGGCAGCCACAUCUUCCCUGGGCAACCUGAGCCAGUGUCUCACCACUCUCAUGGUGAAGAAGUUCCUCCUUAUGUCCAGUCUAAAUCUGCUCCUCUCCAGUUUAUACCCAUUGCCCCUCGUCCCGUCCCCACAAGCCGUUGUGAACAGUCCUUCCCCAUUGCAUUGGUGUGCAAUGCUUUCCUUUUCAAAGAGGCUGACAAACAUUUGUUAAGCUGGUUGUCCCCAGAGAAGCACUUCUGAAGCGGACAUAUUUGGUCCUUCUCCAAAUUACCAGAUCCAAUUGUUCCUUGUUAUUCCAAAAGCUGCCCAGGUGAUUCUCCACCUCACCAUACACCAACCCUCUGCUCCCACGGCUCACCACAUCCUUUCUUUUCCCCAAAGUCAGGGAGCAUCGCUGCUAACUGCCUGCUUCAUGCUGUGUUGCUUUUACACACACAAGGAAAUACAAAAAGCUUGCAGGCACAAGAAAUGCCUACUAUGACUUACAGACUUGUGUAAUCUCCUUUGUGUUUACGCUAAGAGAGUCAUUUAAUUAGAGCUUGCAGCAACCCUCUUUGUAUUUUGAAAAUUGACUAAUCGGUUCCAUAGUUCCUCGUUAUCCCCGCUGCACUAAUCGGGAAACUGAGUCAUGUUUUCAAUAGGUUGUCAGGGUAGAACCUGAACUCCACGUCCUGUCUUCGAACCCCCAGCUCUCAAUUCGCCAUCUCAUUUCAUUGCCUCUUCUGCUUUGUUUUUCCACUACAGAGGAAGAGAUGAUAGAUCACCUUGUUUUGAUCCCAGGGACACGCUUUUCCUUAGCGUGGUACAAACAUCACGUUGAAGAUAUAAAGCAGGGGCCCUGGAAAUGAGGAACCUUGGCUGUGUUUCACAGCAGAAUUGCUUUUUGCCUUUCUGGCAGAUUUCUUUCCGUUCCUUAGCACCAUGUGCAAUGGCAGCUGCCUCAAAUGCCAGUGUUUUCCAAGGCAGGUCCAGGCAGUGGUCGGAAUGUAGAAACUACACCACAGCAGGCAGGAGAGGUCCUGGGAGGGAAGCACAGCCCAGACGGCUGUCAUUGCUCUGCAAGGGGCUGGUGCAGGCACAAGAACCAUCACCAUAGAAUAGAAGCACUGCCUUAGAAACAUAGAACUGUUAGAGCUGGAAAAGACCUCCAAGAUCAUCAAGUCCAACCAUCAACCUUUAAUUUCUGCCGACAACCCCUGCAAAGGUGAGUGUCGUGCUACUGUGCUCAGCUCACUGAAGGUGUCCAGCACACCUGAAAGCUUUUCUUUUGCAAAAUGCAUUGUAUUUUGCCAGCUGGUUCUGCAAACUGACUCUAGGUCUGCUAAGCUCACCCUGCGUCUACAUGGUAUUACUGUAAACCAUGCCAGCCCCAUGGACCACAUCUUCUGAAACAUCUCCCAGGGAACCCCCCGGCUGAAGCACAAGUGGCUCCAGCCAGGGAAGAGUUUUGCUGGCAGAAUUGAUUAAGCUGUUGGCUCCAGGCAAUGCACUUAAUUUGUGACGUUUGCACCUAUCAUUCAGGAAUAUUGGAUUGUAGCCAAGACAUGACUUGAGGCGAGUGACCCGUCAGAGCUGGGAUGUGCCCUGGGAAGGCAGGGGAGGCGAUGGGGAACGAGCUGCGAGGCAGCAAGGCCAUAUCUGCUGGUUGUCAUGGAUACAAUCACUGCUGGUCUCCUGUAUCAGUUACCUUCCCUUUCCUGGAUGCAAAUAAACGAGUGCCAGUCUACUCCUGUUCUUACGCAGGACACAACCCUUCACAGCCAAACAAAAAGAGAAAACCAUCUGUUUCAAACCUAGACAUCUCUUCUUAAUGUCAUCUAAGGGGAGAGUGGGAGGUGACUUGCUUUUUUGGUAUUCGAAAUAUGCGAGUCUGAUAAUGUUCUGCCCAAUUGCAUUCAGUUCCGUCCUAACCUUUGGCUAUUUCCUAGGACCUCAGAGGAGCUGUUUUCACAGCUCAUUCAGCCUUUGCUCUGGAUCAGCUUUUUGGAUUCAUGACAAGCUGCAGCGGACUUGGACUCUGCCAGCUGCACACGCCUGCUGUUGCCUCACACCGGGCAGAACUCCGCAGGCUCCACUGCCUUCAGCUCCCUGUUUGGAAGGGAAAACAAGAGAAGCUGAUGAAGGCAGUGCAGCAGCACAGAUGUGACUCAGCCGGCUUGCAUGGUCAGGUAGCAGGAACAGAAUCAAUAUCUGACAGCAGAAGAGAAUUUGCUAACGCUGGCGGAACAUCAUUUCUGCUUUUCAAAUUGCUCUUUUCGUUCCCUCUCCUUCAUGAUGAGUAAAGGAAGGGAGCUUGGAGACUGCUUUGUAGACAUUCCUCUUUCCAAAACAGACACUUUUUGUUUAUGUCAGCAAUGUAAGGACUGUCCAGCUGAGCUGUCUCUGACUCUCCUAGGGGUGCUUGGUGCACUUCUAGGCAAGUUUACCCGGAGUAUUUACUGCUGAUGAGGGAGGAACUACUUGAUCCUUAACCAGCAAAAUCCUUUCAGAAUUAUUCUCCAGCAGCCAUAGAGGCAUUAAAAGUUCAGCCCAAAAGGUUCUCCAUUAUCAUGCUAAAAACCCACCUGCCUGAUUCUUGUGUGCUGCUCUCAUUUCAUUGUCGUGCUCCAGAACUGCUCAGAAAAGAUAACUUCUAAGACCAAAAGCAAGAAGCUUGCUUUUAUCUUUCUUCCGCUAAACACUGUGGGUACCUCCGUGAUCGAAAGCCGUCUCUGUUAUGCUUUCCUCUGUCACUGUAAAGAGGGGAGGGCGGUGUGACUCACAGAGCAAAGUUUUCCCACUGGGUACUAAAUAUCUUUAAUAAGAUGUGUCCCCCAAGAUUUAUAUUAGUGAAUUCAUAAAAUAAGCACAUAAAGAAACAAAAAUAAUCACAGACUCCUCAAAGCGCAGAACAACCUCCAGCGCUCUGAGCGCUCAAGGGACGCGUCCUCGCCAUUGGUGGGAUCUCCCAGCUCACUCACCUCUGCUUUGCUCACAGGAGCAUCUCCAGCCACUGAGGAACAGUCAGUUACAAAGUAAAAACUUCAGAAACAGGUAUUUUUGUCUCCCAACGGAUGGAUGAAAGCUGCAGUGUGUUGUAUCAAUAAAGGCUUUGCCAGAGGCAGUGAGCAAUUUAAAUCGUUCCAACUCUGGAACACGGUUUGAGUUUUGCCACAGAUUCCGGUGACGGCAAAACUGAGACUUGUAUGGCAGGUAACAACUCUUUUCACUCUUUUCCUGUGUGAAAUCAGGUAUUUGCUCACAAUCUGGUUUCAGAAAGUCCUGGCCUGACCUGCUGCCUGUCUGUUUAAAGUCUGCACAGAAUCAUUUUCCCCUUAACCUAAGAAGCCACUAACAUAAUGUUGGAGAUAAAUGUUCCGUGGCAGCAGCCUGGCAUAAGAUACGGAGAAAAUAGGGUCAGUGUGUUGGAACUGGAUAAUACAUAACAUCUAAUGUAAUGUUAUUUAACUCAAAGGUCUUCUCUCAAACACAAGGACUCUGGGGUAUUCUACAGUCCUUAAAACAGCGCAAGUAGCAUAGUGCUAUUAGCUGUUAACACCCAGUACCACCAUAUAUUCGUUGAAAGGUAAUAUUGAUCAACUGAGAUGGAAAACAGUUCUUUUGGCAGCUGUUAGCCAGCUCUUUGGAAAUGAAUAUGGGAGUCAAUUACCAAGGGACAAAAGUCCCCUCUGCAGGAUUGCCAGCUUGCUACUGGCACAAGCUCGCCUGCUGCCGGAAGCAUUCCAGAAGGGGAAGAUAAAGGCAGAAAUGGAUGGGUUUAAAUAUCAGCACUGUAAAGACAGAAGCAGAUGGGCUUAAAUAUCAUCACUAUGGCCUUAGAAAUUUUUCACUACGUCAGAAAGCAAACCAGUCUGGAUGAAGAACAGGCUAAACCAGCCUGCCCAGCAUAUAAGUUAGUUACCUGCUAUGGUCCUGCAGUACUCAGCAUCAGGCACGGGGAAAACUGAGUUCUUUGCCUCCCAGUCUAAGAUGGGAAUUGUGUCUGAUACACAAAAACUCUGCAGAAUCAGCACAUGGGUGAGAUGGGGAUGCUAGAAGAAUCCCUCUUGCGAGGAAAGACUGGUAUUGCACAAACUUAUAUAAGGCAGCUCGGCAUAGAAGCUGCUGCUGGGUUGGCUGCACAGGAGCGCAAAGAAGACAACGUUCUUUCUUCACCUACAUUUAGUUGUGUAAUGAGCCACCUGCUCAGACACCGUUUCUUCAUACUGGGCAGGAGCCCACAGCCUUUGACUUUGAAAAAUAACUCAUUGCACUUCUCCCUGCUCAGGUGCACAAAGGGAGCGAAUGCAGAAACCCAGCGCCGAGCAGGCAGCGUGUGAGGACCUUGGAAUGACAUUGGGCUGUUUUGUCUUACUCCCAUGUGCCAGCCAGGCGCUGUGUGGAAUAUAACCCAGCUGGGGCCAGUACCCAUCAGACCGACCAGUGUGGGGCUGUGGGGCUGCCAGCCCCCCCACCUCCACAGAUGACAGGAGGAAAGGGUUUAUCCACAUCCUCAGUCCUGGGCUGCGCUGGCCUAUUGGUUUCCUUCCCCAAACACAUACCGUAAGCUCAACUUAAGGCUGGCUCAUCCUUGCUCUGCUGAUAGAAACUGUUGAUUUAGUGAGUUAAUCAAUAAACCAAACUCCCAAAGUAUUCCCAUGCAAAUGGAUAAGAACCCUGGUCUGCUCACUUUGCUAAUGACUGAAUAAUCACUGUAGGUUUGUUAUCCAGGAACUAGCAGGGUAUGGUGACACGGUGUGUUUAAUGGAGACAUGGGAAUAAAAUAUAUUUUUCAGUACAGUGCACUUGCAGACAUCCC
This is a long non-coding RNA of Cuculus canorus (common cuckoo), 7552 nucleotides long. RefSeq lists it as uncharacterized. Lineage: Eukaryota; Metazoa; Chordata; Aves; Cuculiformes; Cuculidae. The transcript has 3 exons. The record is from RefSeq and is a predicted model, not a curated record.